CCUACGGGAGGCAGCAGUGGGGAAUAUUGCACAAUGGGCGCUAGCCUGAUGCAGCCAUGCCGCGUGUGUGAAGAAGGCCUUCGGGUUGUAAAGCACUUUCAGCGGGGAGGAAGGCGUUAAGGUUAAUAACCUUGGCGAUUGACGUUACCCGCAGAAGAAGCACCGGCUAACUCCGUGCCAGCAGCCGCGGUAAUACGGAGGGUGCAAGCGUUAAUCGGAAUUACUGGGCGUAAAGCGCACGCAGGCGGUCUGUCAAGUCGGAUGUGAAAUCCCCGGGCUCAACCUGGGAACUGCAUUCGAAACUGGCAGGCUAGAGUCGUGUAGAGGGGGGUAGAAGUCCAGGUGUAGCGGUGAACUGCGUAGAGAUCUGGAGGAAUACCGGUGGCGAAGGCGGCCCCCUGGACAAAGACUGACGCUCAGGUGCGAAAGCGUGGGGCGCAAACAGGAUUAGAUACCCGUGUAGUC
This 465-nucleotide ribosomal RNA is filed under the name uncultured Klebsiella sp. RNAcentral's name for it is "bacterial SSU rRNA". It matches the Rfam family "Bacterial small subunit ribosomal RNA", at positions 338 to 795 of the family's 1533-position model. Lineage: Bacteria; Pseudomonadati; Pseudomonadota; Gammaproteobacteria; Enterobacterales; Enterobacteriaceae. The record is from RNAcentral.